This 148-nucleotide small nuclear RNA is filed under the name Moschus moschiferus (Siberian musk deer). Its description in RNAcentral is "U2 spliceosomal RNA (ENSMMSG00000009691.1)". It matches the Rfam family "U2 spliceosomal RNA". From Rfam's summary of the family: U2 is a small nuclear RNA (snRNA) component of the spliceosome (involved in pre-mRNA splicing). Complementary binding between U2 snRNA (in an area lying towards the 5' end but 3' to hairpin I) and the branchpoint sequence (BPS) of the intron results the bulging out of an unpaired adenosine, on the BPS, which initiates a nucleophilic attack at the intronic 5' splice site, thus starting the first of two transesterification reactions that mediate splicing. Lineage: Eukaryota; Metazoa; Chordata; Mammalia; Artiodactyla; Moschidae. The record is from Rfam by way of RNAcentral.
AUCGCUUCUCAGCCUUUUGGCUAAGAUCAAGGGUAGUAUCUGUUCUUAUCAGUUUAAUCUAUAAAUUAUCCAAAUCUGCUGUUUUGAGGUUCCAUAUUGUGUACUGCAUGUGCUAUUAUCAUGAUUAUCAUCAGAAACAACAACAAAU